GACGAACGCUGGCGGCGCGCUUAACACAUGCAAGUCGAGCGAAGCGGCGGACGGGUGAGUAACACGUGAGUAACCUGCCUUAGACAUUGGGCUAGCCUCGGGAAACCGGGAUUAAUACCAAAUGGUCUAAGAUGGACUCGCGUCCCAUUAGCUAGUUGGUGGGUAACGGCCCACCAAGGAGACGAUGGGUAGCCGGCCGGGGAGGUUGAACGGCCACUUUUGAGCUGAGAAACGGUCCAAACUCUACGGGAGGCAGCAGUGGUGAAUAUUGCACAGUGGAGGGAGCUCUGAUGCAGCGACGCCGCGUGAACCAAGAAGGCUGUCGAGUCGUACAGUUCUUUUAUAUGGGAAGCGGUACCAUAAGAAAAAGCCCCGGCUAACUACGUGCCAGCAGCCGCGGUAAUAC
This 406-nucleotide ribosomal RNA is filed under the name uncultured bacterium. RNAcentral's name for it is "partial 16S ribosomal RNA". It matches the Rfam family "Bacterial small subunit ribosomal RNA", at positions 28 to 526 of the family's 1533-position model. The record is from RNAcentral.